AUUGAACGCUGGCGGCAGGCUUAACACAUGCAAGUCGAGCGAGCGGCGGACGGGUGAGUAAUGUCUGGGAAACUGCCUGAUGGAGGGGGAUAACUACUGGAAACGGUAGCUAAUACCGCAUACCAUCAGAUGUGCCUAGAUGUGAUUAGCUAGUAGGUGGGGUAAUGGCUAACCUAGGCGACGAUCCCUAGCUGGUCUGAGAGGAUGACCAGCUACACUGGAAUUGAGACACGGUCCAGACUCCUACGUGACGCAGCAGGGGGGAAUAUUGCACAGUGGGCGCAAGACUGAUGCAGCCAAGUCGCGUGUGGAAAGAAGGGCUUCGGGUUGGAAAGCACUUUCAGCGAGGAGGCGUGACUCGCAGAAGAAGCACAGGCUAACUGCGUGCCAGCAGCCGCGGUAAUAC
RNAcentral lists this ribosomal RNA (406 nucleotides) under uncultured bacterium. RNAcentral's name for it is "partial 16S ribosomal RNA". It matches the Rfam family "Bacterial small subunit ribosomal RNA", at positions 30 to 526 of the family's 1533-position model. The record is from RNAcentral.